CAUGAAGCUGGAAUCGCUAGUAAUCGCGGAUCAGAAUGCCGCGGUGAAUACGUUCCCGGGUCUUGUACACACCGCCCGUCACACCAUGGGAGUCAGCAACGCCCGAAGUCAGUGACCUAACCGAGAGGAAGGAGCUGCCGAAGGCGGGGCAGGUAACUGGGGUGAAGUCGUAACAAGGUAAC
RNAcentral lists this ribosomal RNA (182 nucleotides) under uncultured bacterium. RNAcentral's name for it is "partial 16S ribosomal RNA". It matches the Rfam family "Bacterial small subunit ribosomal RNA", at positions 1319 to 1500 of the family's 1533-position model. The record is from RNAcentral.